RNAcentral lists this ribosomal RNA (369 nucleotides) under uncultured Glomeromycotina. RNAcentral describes it as "LSU rRNA". The record is from RNAcentral. Lineage: Eukaryota; Fungi; Glomeromycota.
UUGAAAGGGAAACGAUUGAAGUCAGUCGUGCUGGCGCGAAAUCAACCUUCUCGUCUUGAGAUCACAUGGCGUGGCGAGCCUCAAAACCGUCACGAAGCGUGAACUCUUGGUGAAAUGGAGCACUUUCGUGUCCGCUGGUUAACAUCAAUUUCGAACGUCAUAAAAAGGCUGGAGGGAUGUGGCUCCUUCGGGAGUGUUAUAACCUUUAGCGGAAUGUAGUGUUCGGGAUUGAGGAUUGCAACGAAUACCUUUAGGGCUGUUCCACCUGGCUUCUCUUUGGUAUCCUGGUGACGACAGCUUGCUGACGUCGUUAGGAUUCGCCUUUGAACAGGCUAGAGUGUGAGCAAAUUCGUUAAGGAUGUUGACGUA